GAGAACAACACCUCCCCACAGUUGGAGCCAGGCCGGUCUUCUGAGAGACCAGCCUGCAUCAGGCCAGGCCGGGAUGGCCAGAGAAGAAGCUAUGGUGUUUGCUAUGUGUGGUUUCACAUGUCUCACUGCGCUGGCAUGGCCAACAGGCCUCACGGCAGAUGGGUUGGUUCUACUGAAGCCUACGAGACUUCGAAGAGGUCAAUCAGCAGCUCAACUCAUCGACCCUAAACACAGCCUUGGCCUUUGAGCCGUACCGCACCUUGGCAACCAGCGCCGCUGCUGAGCGGCAGCAGCACAACAUCUUGUUCUCGCCAUUGGGCUUAGCGUCAGCUCUGGCGCUGCUGUCCCGGGUUUGUGGUUCCGAGAGUCGGAACCAGACCCUGGAGGCCCUGGGGCUGGCGGCCAAUACUACAGAGGAGAGUGUGGAGGCCACCUUAUCUGCUCUUGCAGAUAUGCAACUCAGCCUGUCUCUACGCGGGGGGGGUGUAGGGUCCAAAGGGUAGAAUCUGGAACUGGAACAGGAGCUGGCAUUGGGGCACCAGCAAGGGUGGAAUUUGUAGGGGAUGAUGCUGCAAACCAAACUGAUGUAGAUGAUUGGGCGGAGGGUAAGGAUGGAACUCGGGGUGGUGUUCAUGCUGGCAGUCAGCUGGAGUUUUGAGCAGCCUACAUGUGGAUGGAAGACCAUCCCUAGACUAUGACAGUUUCAUGCUCAGGCCUUGGCACAACAGCUUUGACUCGUUGAUGACUUGGAAGCCUCUGACAAACUUGAACUUACCAAUUAUGUGUAUUUCAAAAGGUAGCUUCUUCAUAGUUAAUGGCUGAUGUUAUUUUCAGCUUUUGUAUAUGCAUAAUGUAUAUUAAUGGUGUGAACAAUCAGACCGAUUUGUAAAGACCUUCAAAAACAUGUUAAUAAGCUUGAAAUCAGAAUGAACCGCUGCUAAAUUUGUAAAAGUAAAAUCAGAACACUUUCAAAAUGUGCUCUCUGUGUCAAGACAAUUGCAGCCACUACAGAGCAUCAGUCAUUGUUGUCUACGUGGAGCAGAUGCUCUCAGCCAGUCAACAGUGGUGCUUUAUACAGGCAUGCAACUUUUCCCUCUUACAAUUUGUUUUUCCUAUUUCAUAACGUUCUCUUUGUCACUGCUGCGUGAAUCAGGCCGUCAACCAUUUGAGCGGCGCCACACGGUGCCAAGGAGCUUCCAGCCCAACGCCACCACCACCAGCGUGGAGGUGGCCAUGAUGUUCUAAGGUGAUGAUGCUGUACGACACGGUGGUGCGUCUGGCCCACUCCGAGCGAACUGGCCUCGCCGCUCCUGCUCCCUACAGCUGAGCCGCAGCCCCUGGAGCCUCUCCGACGGACGCAUGGCGCCGCAACCUGAAGCAGUGGUAUGUGAGGGCAGGGGGCAAAAUUGUAAAAUUGCAAACUGUGGCGGAACAAGGUGCAAGCCAUGUUGGGCUGUCCUCUGAGGCUCAUGUUUUCAUGAGGUCUUGCAGUGGCCCAAAGUGUCAGCAGAUUUAAGGAUGAGUGGAAUUAAAUAAUUUCCCCUGUGCCGUUCUGCAUCCCCUGCAGGGUCUCACUGAAGAGAAUUCCAAAAACAACCUUCAGAAUGAUGCUAUGAAACACAAUGAUUGUGAAGUUAUUUAAACCAAAAUACAAUACUUUAUUCCCCUGAUGGAACGUAUCCUGGCUCUAAAAUAUAUAUUUUAUGAGAUUUCUACUUCCAGGUCGAUCUAAUUGAGGUUGAAUAGAAUUGAAUCUGUUACGCUCAGAGCAUUGACUUUUUUGGCAUUUUUGAAUUCCACAUCAUCACAUCUUUCUGUUGGCAGCAGCGACGAGGAGACUGCAACCUUCCUCAAAUGCGUUCAUGAAACAAACGCAACGUUUCCCACAUCAUUUUCAUCCAUUCAAGGCGGGCAGAAAUCCGUUUCCCUAAGUUCCAACUAAGGAAAUCCUACAGUUUAGACAGGAGGCCUCCUGAGGAACUCUGGGGUGUCAUCGGUUUUCUCGCACUCAGCCGACUUAUCUGGAAUAUCGCAGGAGACUCUGAAACUCGCCAAGGCUCCUCGUGAGGUCAUGCCCGAGGUGGAGGAGAUCCAGUAUGAAGAUGGGGGAGACCUGACAGUUCACCGGACUUCUCUGUUCCCUCGAGGAUCACCUUUAACAGGCCGUUCAUGCUCAUAACCUACGGCCAUCUCACGGGGAGAAUUAUUGAUCCUACAAAUGUCUACAGCGGGGUGAACAGCGUAGCUUUAUUGGGCUUUGCUAUUGAUAUAACACUGCGUUCACUUAUAUUACUCGAUUUGUUUUUCCCCCCCAACAGAAUGGUGUAUCAUUCUGGGGAAAAACAUUUUCCUGCAAUUAUAUCAGCAUGCAGAGUGCUUUGUUUUACCUUCAAUUUUCCAAACCAUUACAGCCUGAUUUACAGUUUCUUUCCCCCCUAUUUGCACAAAAUUAUGAAAAGAAAUUCAAAUUGAAGUAAUUUAUCUGUAUGACUGAAUCGCUUUCUACUCUUGCAAAAGCAUAAAACCCUUUUCUUCCAUUACAAAAGCUCUAUUGUCAUUUUUUCCCAUCUCUUUAUCGCUUUGUGCAAUUACAGAGAAAUGUUUUGCAGGAGAAAAGCACUGUUACAUCUACAGUACGCAUUUCAGUUUUACCUCAGCACCAGACGGUCUUGAGCAGAUGACAUUUAGCUCAUUGAGGAGAUGAUAAAUG
Long non-coding RNA from Gasterosteus aculeatus aculeatus (three-spined stickleback), 2710 nucleotides. The record is from Ensembl. NCBI's taxonomy places the organism in Eukaryota, Metazoa, Chordata, Actinopteri, Perciformes, Gasterosteidae.